Molecule: ribosomal RNA, 491 nt
Filed under: uncultured bacterium
Lineage: Bacteria
Description: partial 16S ribosomal RNA
Rfam family: Bacterial small subunit ribosomal RNA
Source: RNAcentral
AUGAACGCUAGCUACAGGCUUAACACAUGCCAGUCGAGGGGAAACGACAUCGAAAGCUUGCUUUUGAUGGGCGUCGACCGGCGCACGGGUGAGUAACGCGUAUCCAACCUGCCCAUCACUUGGGAAUAACCUUGCGAAAGUAAGACUAAUACCCAAUGAUAUCCCACGAAGGCAUCGGAAUGGGAUUAAAGAUUUAUCGGUGAUGGAUGGGGAUGCGUCUGAUUAGCUUGUUGGCGGGGUAACGGCCCACCAAGGCAACGAUCAGUAGGGGGUCUGAGAGGAAGGUCCCCCACAUUGGAACUGAGACACGGUCCAAACUCCUACGGGAGGCAGCAGUGAGGAAUAUUGGUCAAUGGGCGAGAGCCUGAACCAGCCAAGUAGCGUGCAGGAAGACGGCCCUAUGGGUUGUAAACUGCUUUUAGAAGGGAAUAAAGUGGGUCACGUGUGACUUUUUGCAUGUACCUUAUGAAUAAGGACCGGCUAAUUCCGUG